UACGUAGGGUGCGAGCGUUGUCCGGAAUUAUUGGGCGUAAAGAGCUCGUAGGCGGUCUGUCGCGUCGGUCGUGAAAACUUGGGGCUUAACCCUGAGCUUGCGGUCGAUACGGGCAUGACUGGAGUUCGGUAGGGGAGACUGGAAUUCCUGGUGUAGCGGUGAAAUGCGCAGAUAUCAGGAGGAACACCGGUGGCGAAGGCGGGUCUCUGGGCCGAUACUGACGCUGAGGAGCGAAAGCUAGGGGAGCGAACGGG
Molecule: ribosomal RNA, 254 nt
Filed under: uncultured bacterium
Lineage: Bacteria
Description: partial 16S ribosomal RNA
Rfam family: Bacterial small subunit ribosomal RNA
Source: RNAcentral